RNAcentral lists this ribosomal RNA (370 nucleotides) under Pila globosa. Its description in RNAcentral is "SSU rRNA". It matches the Rfam family "Eukaryotic small subunit ribosomal RNA", at positions 42 to 375 of the family's 1831-position model. Lineage: Eukaryota; Metazoa; Mollusca; Gastropoda; Architaenioglossa; Ampullariidae. The record is from RNAcentral.
GAUUAAGCCAUGCAUGUCUCAGUUCACACCCUCGCACGGUGAAACCGCGAAUGGCUCAUUAAAUCAGUCGAGGUUCCUUAGAUGAUCCAUUUCUACCUGGAUAACUGUGGCAAUUCUAGAGCUAAUACAUGCGGACCAGCUCCGACCCGGUGUCGCAGCCGGGAAAGAGCGCUUUUAUUAGUUCAAAACCAGUCGGCGGGUCCGCCCUUCGCGGGGUGCGGCCAGCCGUCCCCUUUUGGUGACUCUGGAUAACUUUGUGCCGAUCGCAUGGCCUCGAGCCGGCGACGCAUCUUUCAAAUGUCUGCCCUAUCAAAUGUCGAUGGUACGUGAUAGGCCUACCAUGUUGGCUACGGGUGACGGGGAAUCGGGG